Molecule: unclassified non-coding RNA, 148 nt
Organism: Macaca fascicularis (crab-eating macaque)
Lineage: Eukaryota; Metazoa; Chordata; Mammalia; Primates; Cercopithecidae
Rfam family: Metazoan signal recognition particle RNA
About the family: The signal recognition particle (SRP) is a universally conserved ribonucleoprotein. It is involved in the co-translational targeting of proteins to membranes.
Source: Ensembl
GCCAGGUAUGGUGGUGCAUGCCUGUAAUCCCAACUACUUGGGAGGCUGAGAUAGGAGAAUUGCUUGCACCUGGGAGAUGGAGGCUGCAGUGAGCUGAGAUUACGCCACUGCACUCCAGCCUGGGUGACAGAGUGAGAAUCCAUCUCCA